GACGAACGCCUGGCGGCGUGCUUAACACAUGCAAGUCGAGCGGGCGUCCUUUUCGGAGAGGCGUUAGCGGCGAACGGGUGAGUAACAGGUGGAUAAUCUGCCUCCUGGCGGGGGGAUAACGGCUGGAAACGGCCGCUAAUACCGCAUGUGAUUGCCGGGUCCAUGCCCGGCAAAGAAAGGCGCUUCACGGCGUCACCAGGAGAUGAGUCCGCCCCCCAUUAGCUAGUUGGCGGGAUAACAGCCCACCAAGGCUUCGAUGGGUAGCCGAGCUGAGAGGUUGAUCGGCCACACUGGAACUGAGACACGGUCCAGACUCCUACGGGAGGCAGCAGUGGGGAAUUUUGGACAAUGGGGGCAACCCUGAUCCAGCCAUGCCGCGUGAGUGAAGAAGGCCUUCGGGUUGUAAAGCUCUUUCGGCCGGGAAGAAAUCGUAUGGGUUAAUACCCUGUGCGGAUGACGGUACCGGCAUAAGAAGCACCGGCUAACUACGUG
Molecule: ribosomal RNA, 492 nt
Filed under: uncultured bacterium
Lineage: Bacteria
Description: bacterial SSU rRNA
Rfam family: Bacterial small subunit ribosomal RNA
Source: RNAcentral